UACCGGGUCGUCUAGAGGCAGGACUCCUGGUUUUGGUCCAGGUAACGGAGGUUCGAAUCCUUCCCCGGUAACAA
RNAcentral lists this transfer RNA (74 nucleotides) under Flavobacteriales bacterium. RNAcentral describes it as "tRNA-Gln". It matches the Rfam family "tRNA". Rfam says of the family: Transfer RNA (tRNA) molecules are approximately 80 nucleotides in length. The record is from RNAcentral. Lineage: Bacteria; Pseudomonadati; Bacteroidota; Flavobacteriia; Flavobacteriales.